Molecule: long non-coding RNA, 3354 nt
Filed under: Toxoplasma gondii VEG
Lineage: Eukaryota; Apicomplexa; Conoidasida; Eucoccidiorida; Sarcocystidae
Source: RNAcentral
GAUCCAGCGGAGGAACUCGAAACUGCAUAUGCUUCGGAUUUCUUCUCCGCUCUCUCCUCUCUCAGGGAUGCAGAACACAACUCAGCAGGAGUGCGAGAAACUGUGCAGGAAGCCGGAGAAGAAAACGAAUGUGCAGAAGCGACCGAGGGAAAGAAAACAGGGUGAGCCGUGUGGGGUGGAUUCGAUUCUUUCUCAAGUCGUUUCGCGGAAGACUUCGCUGUGAAAUGCUCAAAACAAAUCUGAAAAAACGUCUCUGCAUCCGCCGCGCGCAUGGCAAGAACCAACAACUCUGAUCCCUCACCGCGUUCUACAGGUUCGCCCUGUUCUGCUCUUUCCUUGCAUGCCUUCGCUGUGUCUCUGUCCAUCAGGUCUGAUUCUCUUCUCUCCUCGCUAUCUGUUGCUUGUCUGAGUACUUCUUUGGCGCCUCCUUCUGCAUGUUCGCUCCGUUUCUCUCCACGGUCUUCGGCCAUCUCCCUCCUCGUUUCCUGAGCGCCUCUGUCGGACGACAGGAACGCCGUAGCCUCAGGGGGGUCAUGCACGGCGCCAGAGUCCUGCCAGACCGCCUGCGUCGAGAGUCCUACGAGAGCAGAAAACUUGGAAGCCGACCUCUUCGUGAGCAUCACUUCGACCAAUUCGACGCCUUCCACUCGUUCACCUUCGCCUCGCGUCUCUCCCUUUCUCUCGGCCUUCCGGCUACUCCGCCUGCUUCCAUCUUCCUCUCUUCCUGCGCCUCCACCCGGCGCGCGCGCCCCCCCUGCAUGCAUCCGCGCGUCGGGGAAGAGAACAGCAGCGAGGGGAGAAGAGCGACGAGAGGGAAGCGCGGGCGAGAGAUCUGAAUGGGCAGCAAACGAUUCGACAGCCAAGGGCGCCUGCUGGCACAGACGCGAAGGAAAGGCAACGUAGACGACCUCGCGCUCGUGGAACGUAACUUCAGUCAUGUUCGCGCUGUCUGGGAAGGCGCAGGCGAUCGUCCAGGCCAGCUGAGGAGACACUGCGCAAAGGACCGCUUCGUCUCGCACUGCGGCCGUGAAGUCGUCUGUGAGGUCUGCCUUCGACGCCGCGCGCUUCUCGACGUUGAGAAACCAGCAGGGAAACAUCGAGGACUUGCCACCAGCGGGCGGCGGAGACGCGCAGGAGGCGACAUCGGAAGAAGAAGAAGCAGCCGACGAGGAAGGAGACGAUGCGCGAACAUGAGGAGAAGACGAAGCGUAGGGAGGAGGUAUAGGCGACAAUGGAGAGGGCAAAGAUCCGAGAACAGAUGUCUCGUUGACACAAUACCCCAACAGAGGAACGGAGAGAAGAACAACAUGUCUGAAACUUCUCCCCUGAGUCUCGUCCUCUGCAUGGGCAGACAUGCUCACAUCCCGGCGCGUGGAAGAGGCCUGUCGAGAAGAAUCCGUGAGGGAAGACACCAACCGCUGAGCAACCGAAUGUAACGGAGAGGACAGAGCGUCCGCAGGAGCAGAGCCUGUGGAGACUAUGGCACUCUUCUUCAUGAGGCUGUCAGGGCAGACGGUUGUGUCUCCUGAAACAUCACGGCGUUGAUCUCUCUGCCCGCUCCACGAUUCGUUUCGAGAUGACUGAGAGACCGGCGCUUCCUGCGGAGGCGGUCGCGCGGCCCAGGCAUUCGCGUGAGAGCUCUGGGGACUCGCGUCUCGGCUUCCAUGGAGCCUUCCACUGGGCGUGGAGUCUGGACGCAGGCAUGUCGAUGAAGGAGACACUGAGGGAGAAAAGAAAGCGACAGAAGCGGAAGAAGAAACAGAGGAAGGACAGCCAGGUGGAGACGCCGCUCCAGCAGAAGACGGCGAAUCAAGAGCCUUUGUUGAAGUUGCUUCUUCACGCUGAGGACUCGGAGACGAAGCCAGGCAAGAUUGCGUCUCGGGUGCCUCUUGCACCGACUCUGCCAGGUCUCGCCCCGGACUCGGCGCUCCUGCACUCGCUUGGACGGGGAGUUCCAGAGUUCGUUCAGCUUUCUGCACAUCUCCGAAGGACUCUGAGUUCUCUCGAGGUCUUCCACUGCAGGCCGUCGUCGGUUCUUCGCGGAUCUGGCUGGCAACAGAGCCACUGCUCUUCGGGGGAGAGGGCGGCGCCUCCUCGCGCUCUGCGUCGUCCUCAUCGCCGACGCCGUGGGCGAGAGCCUGUUGGCGCGCCAAGGCCUCGAGGCUCUCCAGCGACGUAUGCAGAGAGAUUUUGAAGGAAGCCGCGAGGUACUCCCAACAGGGCCUCUCGUUCUCAGUCGAAAUCGAAACGCAGAAGCCGUUCCCUCCGAAACGCCCUGCGCGCCCGCUCCGAUGAAGAAAUGUUUGCGAGUCCUGAAACAGAAGGCAACGGGGCACGGCGAUGAUCGGACGAAAACAGAGACGACGAGGCUGGCAAGACGAACGGCCAUCUGGGGAGAGUGAGAAGAAGAAGCGAGGGAAGUGCAGAGACAGUUGCGCAGACGCCGAGAGAAAGGAAGGAUGAAAGGUGCAACAAGAGAGAAGUUGAAAAAACUGAAGACAGAGAAGAGACAGAAGAAGAGAAGCAAACGAAAGGCAGGAGACGAGAAGCGAAGAAAAAAAAGACACCCCGAAGCAGACGAGAGGCAGACCAGACGCAGACGAAGGAGAAAAGCCUGCGAAUAAGCGAGGAAGCAGAAAAUCUUUCACCAAUCACAGUUUGUCAGAGGGUCUGCUGGAAACGUCUUCCAGAGUCUGAACGGCUCGCCUCUGCAGCUCGGCUACGCAGGCAAGACAAAAUGUGAGACCAGGAGGCUCGCAUGUCCGUGCUGGCGUUAGUAAACCGCUGUGAGGAAGAAUGCAGAAACGCUCGCGUUCCAGCUCACAGAUGAAAGCGUUGAUAUCCUCAAAUGAAGGCGGGGUACACUUUAUCUGGACGCAUGGACUCACAUGCCCUUGUGUCUGUGUGUAUAUGUGUAUAUGUGCAUAUCAUGAAUAUCGGUACUUGGAAAGACACUCGGUCCACGUUGUAAAGCAUCUGGAGCUUUGAGCGCGAGAGCUUCCCGAAGUUCUCUGCUGUCGUAGACAGCCGUUUGUCUAAGGAGAAUAGAUAAGCCUCGUCAACCAUAGUCUGCUCUUCAACUCCCUUGUCGAUCGUCCUUCUCUAUGUCGUUUUUUUCUCUCCGCGUCUCGGCGCGCAGGAUCUCACCAUCGGCAGGUCCACAUUGACCGUCAAGUCAACGCCCGCCGCGUCGAUGCCGCGACUGAUCUGAGAAAAAACAAAACAAAAAAAGGCGCACCCACAGUGGUUAGGCGCCUUUGGCUGCGCACCGAGGUGACAUGAAAAAGCGGCGUCUCUCCGCGGGAAGGAAGCAUGCACUGUCACACAUGCAUCAAAACUGGCAAACAAUCCUUG